RNAcentral lists this unclassified non-coding RNA (351 nucleotides) under Hevea brasiliensis (rubber tree). Lineage: Eukaryota; Viridiplantae; Streptophyta; Magnoliopsida; Malpighiales; Euphorbiaceae. The record is from RNAcentral.
AUCUUUAUUAUGUAUCCUGACAGAUUUACCUUCAUACAUCUAAACACUAUAGUAGUGUUAUUAUGUAUCCAGAAAGCUUGUGUCCUUGUUCAGCUCUCAUGUAGAGAAGUGGCCAAGUGGGGAAGGGCAAUGGUUGGUUCUGUUUUUGGCAGAAGCAUUGGGCCAUUGACAUCACUACUUGGCCCCAAGUUCAUUCCCAACUUCAUUGUACUGUUUUGACAGAAUUCCCAGAAAAACCAGUUUUGGAACCCCACAAGUUUAGCCAUUUUUGUCCACUUUGAUUCUCUUAUUUCCCCGUUUCAGUCUUCUUCUCAUCACAUUGCAAUGAUCUUCGUCAAAAUGGGAUGCUUU